Molecule: long non-coding RNA, 3664 nt
Filed under: Salvia miltiorrhiza (redroot sage)
Lineage: Eukaryota; Viridiplantae; Streptophyta; Magnoliopsida; Lamiales; Lamiaceae
Description: long non-coding RNA (SMIL_LNC006626)
Source: RNAcentral
CCAAACUCAACGGAAGCAGCAGCAAACCACUCAGCCUGCCGGCAAACCUCCCCGCAAUGGAAGACACCCCGUUCGCGACGCGCUUCACCAACGGCCUCCGCAGCCUGGCCUCGGCGGACUACCCCUGCAACGUGCCGCAGACGAUCGACAAAAGAGUGGUGACCACCAUCAGCUUGAACCUGCAAGACUGCCCCGAAAACCAGACGUGCAAGGGCUACUUAAACAGGCGAUUCUACGCGUCGAUGAGCAACCAAUCCUUCGUCCGCCCCUCCAUCUCCAUACUGGAGUCCCCACUACCGCAACCUCGGGGGCCACUACACGUCGGAUUUCCCGGACAAUCCACCCCACAUAUAUAACUACACGGGGGUCGACCCCGUCGCCGAAGAACAUGAACACGGAGUUCGGGACGCGAGUGCUGCAGGUGGAGUUCGGCAACGAAGCUGGAGAUGGUGCUGCAGGACACCAACCUGCUGAACCCGGAGAACCACCCGAUCCACGUCCACGGCCACAACUUCUUCAUCGUGGGGCGGGGGUUCGGGAACUUUGACGCCGCCAAGGAUACGAAGGGGUACAAUCUGGUGGACCCGCCUGAGAGGAACACGGUGGGGGUGCCGGUGGGAGGGUGGGCGGCGAUUAGGAUCAACGCGGAUAAUCCGGGUGUGUGGUUCAUCCAUUGCCAUCUCGAGGAGCACACGUCGUGGGGGCUGGCGAUGGGAUUCAUUGUUAAGAGUGGGAAAGAUCCUACGCAGUCUUUGCUUCCUCCCCCAAAUGAUCUGCCUGUCUGUUGAGUUUUUUGAGUUGUAGCUUUGCUUGUGUACAUUCAGAAACAAAUUGCGUGAUGAGAAAUGACAACCGCCUCCGAUUUUCCACUCGAUUAACAAGUAUAUAUGACAUUUUCUAUUGCAUUUGUGGAUCAAGGAUAUGUGACAAUCUUAAUUAAGGGUCUAUGCUCAGUAAUUAUGGUGUAUAUUUGGAUAUCAUCUAUAAAAAUAAUAAAAUAUUUAGAAUAGAAAAUCUGAAUUACAAAAUUUUGGUAGUCAAACUUCACUACUUUGGAUUGAUUUUCUCUUUCUUUCCAUCUAAAUUUGUGGGAGCUAUUUUUCUAUAAUAGUUUUAAUUGAUUACAUUAAUUUACUAGCAUGAUUAAUACUAAUAAAUUACCAUAAAUUUACAAAUUAUAUAAAUUUGGUGUGAGUUUUUAAAGUUAAAUCUCUACUGUUUAAUUAUGCAGACUAGCAUUUGCACCCCGUGCGAUGCACGGAAAACGUUUUUAUAUUUUUAUAUAUAUAAAUUAAUACCAACUCAAUAAUCAUAUUUAUAAAUAUAAGAAAAAAAUUAAUUUUCACUUAAUAUAUUUGAGUUGAAUAUUUAAAAAAAUAAAAAAAUAAAGAAAAGUUCACAAUAAUAAAAAUUGAUAUUGUGAAAAGGCAUAAAUAAUAAGUAAAAAGAAUAAAAUAGAAAAAAUUGAUUUAUUCAAAAAAAGAGGAGAGAUGAGAGAGAAUUUUUAAAAAUAAUUAAUCUUUAAAUAAAUAUAACUCUCCAUUUUAAAUCAAAUAUUUACAUAAAAAUAUAUCAAAUUAAUGCUCUUAUCAUGAUAUUUAAUUUGAUAUAUUUUAUAAACAAUUUUAAUUUCACAAUUUUAGAAAGAAAUAAUAUUAAAAAUAAGAACACAAAGAAAAAUUAUAUUGUACAAAUAAAACUUCAAUUUUUUAUAACUACAAAAUUACCACUUAUUAAUUUUGAAAUCAAUUUGAAAUUGAAAAUUAUCUUCUUAAUAUAUUAUAAAUUAUUAUAUAAAUAUAAAUUUAUAAAUUAUUUAUAACCAAUGCCUUAUAAAUUGUGUAUAUAUACACAUAUAAACAUAAAAUUCAUAUGGAUUAUAAACGUGGUUAUGCAAUUUUUCUUUUUAAACGUGGGGUGUGUCCAUUUUUUAAAAUUAUGGGUUAUGCAAUUUUAAUUGAGUUAGUUACUUAAUUUUUGAAUAUAUACAAUAAGUCAUUAUUUUUGUAAGAAAUCACAAAAUUGCCAUCGAAAUCAAUUUGAAAUCAAUUUCUAAUUGAAAACUGCUGUUUUAAUAUAGUAUAGAUGUUGAGUAAUUCAAACUACAAAAAGUCAAGUGAAUAAACUUCCAUUUGAUUAUCUCAAUUAUAUAUGUAUAACUUGACAGUAAAUAUAACAAAGAUAAUACUUUAAAAUUUGAUAAAUUAAAAUUUUAAAAUUAUCAAGACACUUAAAUAUUUUAAUUAUUUGAACUAAUUNGCUAUAAAAAUUAAUUUUCACCAUUCAAUUUUUGAUCCAUUUAUUAUAUUCCGAAUUUCUGAAUUUGGCUUUCUGAAUUAUUAAAUUGGCUUUUCUGAAACCCCCAAAUCUUAAAGACGAAAUUUGCUUUUUGAAUUUGAGAAAUUUGUAGACAAAUUUUUAUCGUUCACUUUUAUAUUAUAGUUUUGGAUUAUUUUUCUCUAACAAAAAAUGAUGACGCCGUAUCUAAGCGUCGAAUUGUCCACAUUAAAAUUCUAGCAUUCCAAGUCAGCUUUAAUUUGAGAAAAAUGAAAAACAUUUUAAAAAUUGAAUUAGUUUAAAGUUCAUGUAUUUAUAACUAUGUAUUAUUAAAGUUUAUGUUAAAUACCAAAAAUGAGUAAAGUUCAUGUAUUUAUAAUUAGAAUAUAAAGUUCAUAUUAAAUUUCAAAAAGUGAGUAAAGUUCAUGUAUUUAUACACCAAUUACCCUAAUUAAAUUAAAUAUAAAAUUAUUAGGCAAUUUUAACAAAACAAUGUCAAGUAAUAGACAAAAAAUACAAAUUAAGUACCAAAAUUAUAAAAUAAUUAUAAAAAUAGUUACAAAAUUAUUAAGUACUAGUAUGGUUGUUUAAUUGUAAUUAUAGGAGUAUAAUUUUUCCCAUAUCUCAUUCAACCCACCAUAAUUACAAGUAGAUCUAUGAGACUUAUACAUGUUAAUGCAGACACAUUCAUCCAGAGCGUGGAGCAGGGCAAGACUUACAUACUAAGGAUCAUAAAUGCUGCCCUGAACGACGAGCUCUUCUUCGCGGUGGCCAACCACACUCUAACCGUGGUCGAGAUCGACGCCGUCUACACCAAGCCCUUCACAACACCCGCCAUCAUGAUCACCCCGGGCCAAACAACCACCGUUCUACUCACGGCAGACAACCCCGGCUCCACCGGCGUCUUCGUCAUGGCGGCAAGGCCUUACCUCACCUCAGUCUUCCCCUUCGACAACUCCACCACGAUCGGAUACUUGCAAUACACAACCAAACUCAACGGAAGCAGCAGCAAACCACUCAGCCUGCCGGCAAACCUCCCCGCAAUGGAAGACACCCCGUUCGCGACGCGCUUCACCAACGGCCUCCGCAGCCUGGCCUCGGCGGACUACCCCUGCAACGUGCCGCAGACGAUCGACAAAAGAGUGGUGACCACCAUCAGCUUGAACCUGCAAGACUGCCCCGAAAACCAGACGUGCAAGGGCUACUUAAACAGGCGAUUCUACGCGUCGAUGAGCAACCAAUCCUUCGUCCGCCCCUCCAUCUCCAUACUGGAGUCCCACUACCGCAACCUCGGGGGCCACUACACGUCGGAUUUCCCGGACAAUCCACCCCACAUAUAUAACUACACGGGGGUCGACCCCGUCGCCGAGAACAUGAACACGGAGUU